AUUGAACGCUGGCGGCAGGCCUAACACAUGCAAGUCGAGCGGAUGAGGAGAGCUUGCUCUCUGAUUUAGCGGCGGACGGGUGAGUAAUGCCUAGGAAUCUGCCUGGUAGUGGGGGAUAACGUCCGGAAACGGGCGCUAAUACCGCUUACGUCCUACGGGAGAAAGCAGGGGACCUUCGGGCCUUGCGCUAUCAGAUGAGCCUAGGUCGGAUUAGCUAGUUGGUCAGGUAAUGGCUCACCAAGGCGACGAUCCGUAACUGGUCUGAGAGGAUGAUCAGUCACACUGGAACUGAGACACGGUCCAGACUCCUACGGGAGGCAGCAGUGGGGAAUAUUGGACAAUGGGCGAAAGCCUGAUCCAGCCAUGCCGCGUGUGUGAAGAAGGUCUUCGGAUUGUAAAGCACUUUAAGUUGGGAGGAAGGGCAGUAAGUUAAUACCUUGCUGUUUUGACGUUACCGACAGAAUAAGCACCGGCUAACUUCGUGCCAGCAGCCGCGGUAA
This 500-nucleotide ribosomal RNA is filed under the name uncultured bacterium. RNAcentral describes it as "partial 16S ribosomal RNA". It matches the Rfam family "Bacterial small subunit ribosomal RNA", at positions 30 to 523 of the family's 1533-position model. The record is from RNAcentral.